UACGUAGGGGGCAAGCGUUGUCCGGAAUCAUUGGGCGUAAAGCGCGUGUAGGCGGCUUGAUAAGUCCGCUCUGAAAGCCCGGGGCUCAACCCCGGGAGGCGGGUGGAUACUGUCAAGCUCGAGUCCGGAAGAGGCGAGUGGAAUUCCUGGUGUAGCGGUGAAAUGCGCAGAUAUCAGGAGGAACACCAAUGGCGAAGGCAGCUCGCUGGGACGUGACUGACGCUGAGACGCGAAAGCGUGGGGAGCGAACAGG
This 253-nucleotide ribosomal RNA is filed under the name uncultured bacterium. RNAcentral's name for it is "partial 16S ribosomal RNA". It matches the Rfam family "Bacterial small subunit ribosomal RNA", at positions 524 to 776 of the family's 1533-position model. The record is from RNAcentral.